GGUGAAUGACCCCCUCAACUAAGAUUUCUUCUUCAUUCGAAUUACAUUUAAGCUCAUCACGAGCACUACCCAUCAAUUCAGAAAACAAGGGCCGCUCAUCAAACAUCAAAGGGACCGUUUCCAUUCCAACAAAAUCAACAUUGCCAAACUGAUCUUUCUCCACACUUCCUCCAUGAUAUAAGGUUACUAAAUUGUCCAUCUAAUUGAUAUACAAAACAACCAUGUUACUAGGCAUAUAACUAAUACAAAUAAAACACAUAAAUAUCUAUCUAAGAAAAUACGUAUGUACCUAAC
This 294-nucleotide long non-coding RNA is filed under the name Sorghum bicolor (sorghum). RNAcentral's name for it is "long non-coding RNA (SBIC_LNC007357)". Lineage: Eukaryota; Viridiplantae; Streptophyta; Magnoliopsida; Poales; Poaceae. The record is from RNAcentral.